Molecule: long non-coding RNA, 1249 nt
Filed under: Felis catus (domestic cat)
Lineage: Eukaryota; Metazoa; Chordata; Mammalia; Carnivora; Felidae
Description: lncRNA (ENSFCAG00000049781.1)
Source: RNAcentral
AUGGAGGAGGCUGGGGCGGGGGCUGAGGUGGAGGGGAGCCUGAAGAGGAGAGGGAGAGGGAGAGGGAGAGGGAAAGGUCCUGAGAACUUCCCUUCCCUGAACUGUAUCCAACGAGGUGUGACUCCAGCCUCCUGGGAGAGGAAUGUAGUGGCUGCCAGAGAACAGUCACCGGAGCUGUGGAACAGCACCCCCGGGGCGGGUUCGCAAAGCAGGCUGAGACCGGGGCUCAAGGUACUUCCCUUGAAGUGACCAAUAACCCAACAGCAGAUGCAGAAGAACCUCGUCCGGACUUCCCUUAUGUGACUAGCACAGAGCUUUGGGAGAAUGAGCCACCACACCCGACCCCCACCCCUCCAGGGAGGCUUCAGUCGGGGAGGCACUGACUGGCACAGGGACAUUCCCGAAGAAAUGGUGUAAACACACCUCAUCAGAACCUGCCAUCCUUUGAAGCACUAGCCCCUUACCCCUUUUAUUAAAUUGGGAUAUAUAUCUUUACCUCUGGUUUUCCAGUGACUUACCCAUUACUCAGUGCUCUGGAACUCGGUGUGUGCACACACUUUUUCUUUUCUCCUGUGAAUCUGGCCACUACCCCCACCCUCAAACCUGAGUUAGUAGAGGAAAAAGUUGUCCUUCCAACAAUUUCAAAUCAAAGAAAUCCCCAGGGGCCGUCCAAUGGGAAGUUCUGAGGCCCUCUGCACUGAGUUUUGUCUGGUCAAAGGAACUGAGUUUAAGAGCAACCACCUCUGCAGGGGAGAUGCCCCAGGGAUUCACAGCCCUUUCAACCCUGGUGCAGAUGGCCAGGGCCCAGAGACACACAGCUUCUGGGCCUGAGGUCACAGCAGAGGCAACUUCUGACUUAUAAAAGAUUGUGUCUCCUGGUCUGUGGCGGCUUCCUUUUGGUUUUUUGCUUACUUAACCAACCCUUAGUACUUGCUAUGUGCCAGACUCUGUUCCAAAUACUUUACAAAUAGUAAGCCAUUUAGUCCUCAGAAUGACCCUAUGAGGUAAAUGUUCUUGUUGUCUUCAUUUUACAAAUAAGGAUCAGAGAGCACAGAGAUGUUAAGCAAUUUGCCCAAGGUCACACAGUGAGUGGGUAGCAGAGUAAGGAUUCACACCCUGGUGGUGCUUAGCUCUAAGAUGAGAAUUGACCCAAUGUCUAUUCAGUGAGCAUUCUGUGCCUCUGGGCACUGUUCUGGCCAGGGCUCCUGGGGCUGGACAAGGUUAUGUAUUUGAGUCCUGGCUAUGGGCA